RNAcentral lists this ribosomal RNA (324 nucleotides) under uncultured Thauera sp. RNAcentral's name for it is "bacterial SSU rRNA". It matches the Rfam family "Bacterial small subunit ribosomal RNA", at positions 1057 to 1382 of the family's 1533-position model. Lineage: Bacteria; Pseudomonadati; Pseudomonadota; Betaproteobacteria; Rhodocyclales; Zoogloeaceae. The record is from RNAcentral.
AGCUCGUGUCGUGAGAUGUUGGGUUAAGUCCCGCAACGAGCGCAACCCUUGUCAUUAGUUGCCAUCAUUUAGUUGGGCACUCUAAUGAGACUGCCGGUGACAAACCGGAGGAAGGUGGGGAUGACGUCAAGUCCUCAUGGCCCUUAUGGGUAGGGCUUCACACGUCAUACAAUGGUCGGUACAGAGGGUUGCCAAGCCGCGAGGUGGAGCCAAUCCCUUAAAGCCGAUCGUAGUCCGGAUCGUAGUCUGCAACUCGACUACGUGAAGUCGGAAUCGCUAGUAAUCGCAGAUCAGCAUGCUGCGGUGAAUACGUUCCCGGGUCUU